RNAcentral lists this ribosomal RNA (249 nucleotides) under uncultured bacterium. RNAcentral describes it as "partial small subunit ribosomal RNA". It matches the Rfam family "Bacterial small subunit ribosomal RNA", at positions 26 to 288 of the family's 1533-position model. The record is from RNAcentral.
AGAAUCAACGCUGGCGGCGUGCCUAACACAUGCAAGUCGAACGAGAAAGGGUAGCAAUACCUGAGUAAAGUGGCGCACGGGUGAGUAACACGUGACUAACCUACCCUAGAGUGGGGGAUAACUGAGGGAAACCUUAGCUAAAUACCGCAUAAUACCCACGGGUCAAAGGAGCAAUUCGCUUUAGGAGGGGGUCGCGGUCGAUUAGUUAGUUGGCGGGGUAAUGGCCCACCAAGACUUUGAUCGAUAUCC